This 463-nucleotide ribosomal RNA is filed under the name Streptococcus sanguinis. Its description in RNAcentral is "bacterial SSU rRNA". It matches the Rfam family "Bacterial small subunit ribosomal RNA", at positions 28 to 473 of the family's 1533-position model. Lineage: Bacteria; Bacillati; Bacillota; Bacilli; Lactobacillales; Streptococcaceae. The record is from RNAcentral.
GACGAACGCUGGCGGCGUGCCUAAUACAUGCAAGUAGAACGCUGAAGAGAGGAGCUUGCUCUUCUUGGAUGAGUUGCGAACGGGUGAGUAACGCGUAGGUAACCUGCCUGGUAGCGGGGGAUAACUAUUGGAAACGAUAGCUAAUACCGCAUAAAAUUGAUUAUUGCAUGAUAAUUAAUUGAAAGAUGCAAUUGCAUCACUACCAGAUGGACCUGCGUUGUAUUAGCUAGUUGGUGAGGUAACGGCUCACCAAGGCGACGAUACAUAGCCGACCUGAGAGGGUGAUCGGCCACACUGGGACUGAGACACGGCCCAGACUCCUACGGGAGGCAGCAGUAGGGAAUCUUCGGCAAUGGGGGGAACCCUGACCGAGCAACGCCGCGUGAGUGAAGAAGGUUUUCGGAUCGUAAAGCUCUGUUGUAAGAGAAGAACGGGUGUGAGAGUGGAAAGUUCACACUGUGAC